GCCUUCGUGGUGUAACGGUUAGCACACUCGGCGCGUAUUCCAGAGGUCCAGGUUCGAGUCCCGUCGAGGGCA
RNAcentral lists this transfer RNA (72 nucleotides) under Stegodyphus mimosarum. It matches the Rfam family "tRNA". Rfam says of the family: Transfer RNA (tRNA) molecules are approximately 80 nucleotides in length. Lineage: Eukaryota; Metazoa; Arthropoda; Arachnida; Araneae; Eresidae. The record is from Rfam by way of RNAcentral.